GUUGCAUCGCUUGUUACAUUACACAAGUUAAUAAAUAAGGCUUCGUUAGUGGACUAAAGUAUCGGGCAGUGUCCCAAGCGAUACAAUAAUAUUAAUUGAUUAUUUGACAGGAGUUAGUUUUUGUUUCCCCAUUUGCACAGCAGAAGCAAAAUCAGGUUAGUUAAAGCAGUGAUAGUUUUCCAGCCUUUGAGAGGUCUCCCAGGAUGUCCUCGACGAAGCGCUCCAGGUAGUCCUCGUCGUCGUCGUCAUCGUCGUCGGCGGCCGCCCCCGCGCCCUCGUCAUCGUCGCCGC
RNAcentral lists this long non-coding RNA (291 nucleotides) under Locusta migratoria (migratory locust). RNAcentral describes it as "partial Lnc58339". Lineage: Eukaryota; Metazoa; Arthropoda; Insecta; Orthoptera; Acrididae. The record is from RNAcentral.